RNAcentral lists this ribosomal RNA (912 nucleotides) under uncultured archaeon. RNAcentral's name for it is "bacterial SSU rRNA". It matches the Rfam family "Archaeal small subunit ribosomal RNA", at positions 1 to 922 of the family's 1478-position model. The record is from RNAcentral.
UCUGGUUGAUCCUGCCGGACCUGACUGCUAUCGGAUUGGUACUAAGCCAUGCGAGUCAUUGUAGCAAUACAAGGCGGACGGCUCAGUAACACGUAGUCAACCUAACUCGUGGACGUGGAUAACCUCGGGAAACUGAGAAUAAACCACGAUAGAUCAUAGUGCCUGGAAUGGCUUAUGGUCCAAACAGUUUACUGCCAUGGGAUGGGACUGCGGCCUAUCAGCUUGUUGGUGAGGUAAUGGCCCACCAAGGCGAUUACAGGUACGGGCUCUGAGAGGAGAAGCCCGGAGAUGGGUACUGAGACACGGACCCAGGCCCUAUGGGGCGCAGCAGGCGAGAAACCUUAGCAAUGUGCGAAAGCACGACUGGGUCAGUCCGAGUGAUUCCUGAUAAAGGAGUCUUUUGCUUGUCCUAAAAGCACAGGUGAAUAAGGGGUGGGCAAGUCUGGUGUCAGCCGCCGCGGUAAUACCAGCACCUCGAGUGGUCAGGACGUUUAUUGGGCCUAAAGCAUCCGUAGCCGGCUUUGCAAGUCUUCGGUUAAAUCCACCUGCUCAACAGAUGGGCCGCUGGAGAUACUACAAAGCUAGGGAGUGGGAGAGGCAGACGGUAUUCAGUGGGUAGGGGUAAAAUCCUCUGAUCCAUUGAGGACCACCAGUGGCGAAGGCGGUCUGCCAGAACACGUUCGACGGUGAGGGAUGAAAGCUGGGGGAGCAAACCGGAUUAGAUACCCGGGUAGUCCCAGCUGUAAACGAUGCAAACUCGGUGAUGCAUUGGCUUAUGGCCAAUGCAGUGCCGCAGGGAAGCCGUUAAGUUUGCCGCCUGGGAAGUACGGACGCAAGUCUAAAACUUAAAGGAAUUGGCGGGGGAGCACCACAAGGGGUGAAGCCUGCGGUUCAAUUGGAUUCAACGCCGGG